Molecule: ribosomal RNA, 404 nt
Filed under: uncultured bacterium
Lineage: Bacteria
Description: bacterial SSU rRNA
Rfam family: Bacterial small subunit ribosomal RNA
Source: RNAcentral
AUUGAACGCUGGCGGCAUGCCUUACACAUGCAAGUCGAACGGCAGCACGGGAGCAAUCCUGGUGGCGAGUGGCGAACGGGUGAGUAAUAUAUCGGAACGUGCCCGGUCGUGGGGAUAACGUAGCGAAAGCUACGCUAAUACCGCAUACGAUCUACGGAUGAAAGCGGGGGAUCGCAAGACCUCGCGCGAUUGGAGCGGCCGAUAUCAGAUUAGGUAGUUGGUGAGGUAAAGGCUCACCAAGCCGACGAUCUGUAGCUGGUCUGAGAGGACGACCAGCCACACUGGGACUGAGACACGGCCCAGACUCCUACGGGAGGCAGCAGUGGGGAAUUUUGGACAAUGGGCGCAAGCCUGAUCCAGCAAUGCCGCGUGCAGGAUGAAGGGCCUUCGGGUUGGUAAACUGC